AUGAACAUUUAGAUCAGACCUGGGCAAAGUAAGGCCCGCGGACCACAUGUGGCCCGAUGGCUGACCCUGACCGGCCCGCAUGAGAUCACUGGCAAAUUAAAAGUCAAUGCAAAUAUUUAUCAGGGUAAUAGAUGCAACCAAUGCAACGGCACAGCUUUUAUUUAGUAGGAUCUGCUAAAUUAGCGUGUUUUCGCACAU
Long non-coding RNA from Sphaeramia orbicularis (orbiculate cardinalfish), 198 nucleotides. RefSeq lists it as uncharacterized. The record is from RefSeq and is a predicted model, not a curated record. NCBI's taxonomy places the organism in Eukaryota, Metazoa, Chordata, Actinopteri, Kurtiformes, Apogonidae. The transcript has 3 exons.